AAAUAGUUGAAUAACACAUGUAGAUUAGCGGAGAGCAACAGGGCAGAGUCCGCAGACUGAGGAAGUCCUUUGUUGCUGAGUUUUUCAUUUUUAAACCUCAAAUCUUCACAGUUGCUACUUGGUUUCCCAAAUGUGAAAGGGAACUUGGCUCUUUUUCAACUUCUAUGAUUGUCUAUUGUCAAUGUCCUAUCAUAGUAAGAAAAAUUUUGGGGAAAUGUUUAAAACUUAUUUUGUUCAAAU
RNAcentral lists this unclassified non-coding RNA (240 nucleotides) under Hevea brasiliensis (rubber tree). Lineage: Eukaryota; Viridiplantae; Streptophyta; Magnoliopsida; Malpighiales; Euphorbiaceae. The record is from RNAcentral.